AAAAGGUAGAGACAAGAUCAAGAUCACAAAGUAUGUUUAGAUUAUGAAAAGAUUAAACUUGACCCAUAAGCAAACUAGAGAAUAAUGAAGUUUUUAAUCUAGUACUGUAAUUAUCAGAUCCAUAUUUUGGAUUAUCAUUCUGCUUUUAAUGUGGAGAGUGACUUGGUAGUUAAUAAAGUUGUUCAGGCUAGAAUAGAUAUGAGCUUUCCAAGGUGAAAGAUAAGGCAAGAAUUUGUGAGAUUUGGGAAGUAGAAAUUCUAGUGCCUGGUUAUUGAUAGGAUGUGGGAGUUGAGAGAGGGUAGCCUACAAUGACCUCUAGGUUUCUGAGUAGCUGGAUAAUGACAAAAAUACAUACCUCAUAACUUUUAAGAAGGACA
RNAcentral lists this long non-coding RNA (377 nucleotides) under Homo sapiens (human). Its description in RNAcentral is "HSALNT0191999". Lineage: Eukaryota; Metazoa; Chordata; Mammalia; Primates; Hominidae. The record is from RNAcentral.